Molecule: unclassified non-coding RNA, 229 nt
Filed under: plant metagenome
Description: partial contains small subunit ribosomal RNA, internal transcribed spacer 1, and 5.8S ribosomal RNA
Source: RNAcentral
UCUCCGUAGGUGAACCUGCGGAGGGAUCAUUACAGAGUUCUCGCCCUCGCGGGUAGAUCUCCCACCCCCUGUUAUCGUUACUGUGUUGCUUUGGCGGGCCGCCGGGCCCCGCUCGGCCGCCGGCUCCGGCUGGCGCGCGCCCGCCAGAGGCCCAGCAAACUCUGAAUGUUAGUGUCGUCUGAGUACUAUAUAAUAGUUAAAACUUUCAACAACGGAUCUCUUGGUUCUG